RNAcentral lists this ribosomal RNA (497 nucleotides) under uncultured bacterium. RNAcentral's name for it is "partial 16S ribosomal RNA". It matches the Rfam family "Bacterial small subunit ribosomal RNA", at positions 28 to 507 of the family's 1533-position model. The record is from RNAcentral.
GAUGAACGCUGGCGGCGUGCCUAAUACAUGCAAGUCGAGCGAACAGACGAGGAGCUUGCUCCUCUGACGUUAGCGGCGGACGGGUGAGUAACACGUGGAUAACCUACCUAUAAGACUGGGAUAACUUCGGGAAACCGGAGCUAAUACCGGAUAAUAUAUUGAACCGCAUGGUUCAAUAGUGAAAGACGGUUUUGCUGUCACUUAUAGAUGGAUCCGCGCCGCAUUAGCUAGUUGGUAAGGUAACGGCUUACCAAGGCAACGAUGCGUAGCCGACCUGAGAGGGUGAUCGGCCACACUGGAACUGAGACACGGUCCAGACUCCGACGGGAGGCAGCAGUAGGGAAUCGGCCGCAAUGGGCGAAAGCCUGACGGAGCAACGCCGCGUGAGUGAUGAAGGUCUUCGGAUCGUAAAACUCUGUUAUUAGGGAAGAACAAAUGUGUAAGUAACUAUGCACGUCUUGACGGUACCUAAUCAGAAAGCAACGGCUAACUACGUG